Molecule: ribosomal RNA, 673 nt
Filed under: Nematoda environmental sample
Lineage: Eukaryota; Metazoa; Nematoda
Description: LSU rRNA
Rfam family: Eukaryotic large subunit ribosomal RNA
Source: RNAcentral
GACCCGUCUUGAAACACGGACCAAGGAGUUUAUCGUGUGCGCAAGUCAUUGGGCGUUCAAAACCCAAAGGCGCAAUGAAAGUAAAUGCAUCCGCAAGGAGCUGACGUGCGAUCCUGGGCAUCGCGGUGCCCGGGCGCAGCAUGGCCCCAUCCCGACUGCAUGCAGUGGGGUGGCGGUAGAGCGUACGCGAUGAGACCCGAAAGAUGGUGAACUAUUCCUGAGCAGGAUGAAGCCAGAGGAAACUCUGGUGGAAGUCCGAAGCGAUUCUGACGUGCAAAUCGAUCGUCUGACUUGGGUAUAGGGGCGAAAGACUAAUCGAACCAUCUAGUAGCUGGUUCCCUCCGAAGUUUCCCCCAGGAUAGCUGGCGCUCAUAUUUUGUAGUUAUACUCGGUAAAGCGAAUGAUUAGAGGACUUGGGGACGAAAUGUUCUUAACCUAUUCUCAAACUCUAAAUGGGUAUGAAGCGUGAGUUGCUUGACUCUUCACUGAACUCGCGCGUUGAAUACAGAGCUCCAAGUGGGCCAUUUUUGGUAAGCAGAACUGGCGAUGUGGGAUGAACCAAACGUGGAGUUAAGGUGUCAAAGUGUCCGCUCAUUGGACCCCAUAAAAGGUGUUGGUUGAUAUAGACAGCAGGACGGUGGCCAUGGAAGUCGGAAUCCGCUAAGGAGUGUGU